UGGCGGCAUGCUAUACAUGCAAGUCGAGCGAACUUGAGGGAGCUUGCUCCCAAAAGUUAGCGGCGGACGGGUGAGUAACACGUGGGCAACCUGCCUGUAAGACUGGGAUAACUUCGGGAAACCGGAGCUAAUACCGGAUAAUUCUUUUCCUCACAUGUGGAAAAGCUGAAAGAUGGCUCCGGCUAUCACUUACAGAUGGGCCCGCGGCGCAUUAGCUAGUUGGUGAGGUAACGGCUCACCAAGGCGACGAUGCGUAGCCGACCUGAGAGGGUGAUCGGCCACACUGGGACUGAGACACGGCCCAGACUCCUACGGGAGGCAGCAGUAGGGAAUCUUCCGCAAUGGACGAAAGUCUGACGGAGCAACGCCGCGUGAGUGAUGAAGGUUUUCGGAUCGUAAAACUCUGUUGUUAGGGAAGAACAAGUACCGUUCGAAUAGGGCGGUACCUUGACGGUACCUAACCAGAAAGCCACGGCUAACUACGUGCCAGCAGCCGCGGUAAUACGUAGGUGGCAAGCGUUGUCCGGAAUUAUUGGGCGUAAAGCGCGCGCAGGCGGUCUUUUAAGUCUGAUGUGAAAGCCCCCGGCUCAACCGGGGAGGGUCAUUGGAAACUGGGAGACUUGAGUGCAGAAGAGGAGAGUGGAAUUCCACGUGUAGCGGUGAAAUGCGUAGAGAUGUGGAGGAACACCAGUGGCGAAGGCGACUCUCUGGUCUGUAACUGACGCUGAGGCGCGAAAGCGUGGGGAGCGAACAGGAUUAGAUACCCUGGUAGUCCACGCCGUAAACGAUGAGUGCUAAGUGUUAGAGGGUUUCCGCCCUUUAGUGCUGCAGCAAACGCAUUAAGCACUCCGCCUGGGGAGUACGGCCGCAAGGCUGAAACUCAAAGGAAUUGACGGGGGCCCGCACAAGCGGUGGAGCAUGUGGUUUAAUUCGAAGCAACGCGAAGAACCUUACCAGGUCUUGACAUCCUCUGACAAUCCUAGAGAUAGGACUUUCCCCUUCGGGGGACAGAGUGACAGGUGGUGCAUGGUUGUCGUCAGCUCGUGUCGUGAGAUGUUGGGUUAAGUCCCGCAACGAGCGCAACCCUUGAUCUUAGUUGCCAGCAUUCAGUUGGGCACUCUAAGGUGACUGCCGGUGACAAACCGGAGGAAGGUGGGGAUGACGUCAAAUCAUCAUGCCCCUUAUGACCUGGGCUACACACGUGCUACAAUGGAUGGUACAAAGGGCUGCAAGACCGCGAGGUUUAGCCAAUCCCAUAAAACCAUUCUCAGUUCGGAUUGCAGGCUGCAACUCGCCUGCAUGAAGCCGGAAUCGCUAGUAAUCGCGGAUCAGCAUGCCGCGGUGAAUACGUUCCCGGGCCUUGUACACACCGCCCGUCACACCACGAGAGUUUGUAACACCCGAAGUCGGUGGGGUAACCGCAAGGAGCCAGCCGCCUAAGGUGGAGCAGAUAAUGG
Molecule: ribosomal RNA, 1457 nt
Filed under: Bacillus sp. KHg1
Lineage: Bacteria; Bacillati; Bacillota; Bacilli; Caryophanales; Bacillaceae
Description: 16S ribosomal RNA
Rfam family: Bacterial small subunit ribosomal RNA
Source: RNAcentral